This is a small nucleolar RNA of Myotis lucifugus (little brown bat), 167 nucleotides long. Ensembl annotates it as small nucleolar RNA SNORA67. Lineage: Eukaryota; Metazoa; Chordata; Mammalia; Chiroptera; Vespertilionidae. The record is from Ensembl.
ACCCAAGGAUCAAAUUCCUAAUAUCAGUUUGAGUAACUGAUACCAAAGUCUUCAUAUUUAUAAAACGCUUCAGGAAAGUAGCAACUUGGAAUAGAAUCUGGCAUGCCUCAGGUUUUCAGGGGAGGUGAUACAUCAUUUCCUUGGCCUUCCUUUGGCUGCCUACAUGU